Molecule: long non-coding RNA, 1143 nt
Filed under: Sarcophilus harrisii (Tasmanian devil)
Lineage: Eukaryota; Metazoa; Chordata; Mammalia; Dasyuromorphia; Dasyuridae
Description: lncRNA (ENSSHAG00000026959.1)
Source: RNAcentral
ACAUGCUGUAUAAGAUAAUCGUUCAUUGUACAUGGUGUCAUUUUCCUCAAAUUACUCCACCAAAAAAGAGCCCCAACCUGAUGAACAAAUUUGUAUGCAUGAAUAAUUUUUUUUGCAUGUAUGUGAAUCUUAUUUUGAUUAGCUAAUGAAUAUCUGAUUAGAUAACUGAAAACCAUUCAAAAUUCUAGAGCCUCCCACACUAUCUUUGGGCCCCUACUGUGGGGACCAUAGUUGAGGUGAGAUUAUGGUAUAUAACACAGUGCUUCUGAUACCUCCACUCACAAACUUGCCUUGGAUAAGGAAGGCAUGAGACCUUUGGGUCUACACCCAUUUUUCUGCCACAUGAGUUGUUAAAGUGAGGCUCCAGGGCAUCUCUUUUUAAAAACCAGAUGGUUUCUUUCCAUGACAUCCAUCCAAGACAUUUUUUUUUUUUUUAGCACUCACAAUGUCCACACAUACCCACACCAGCUCUAUAGGUCUACCAUUUGAAUUGCUAAUUCUUAUACAGGGAAACUUCACCUGUACAGAAAAUGGAUACUGUCAGCUGAACAACAUGGCAAACUUCAUGAAGCACUGCCCAAUCAUACCGCUCAACAUGCACCUUGGGGCACCUCUCUUGGGGACCUCUUUACAAUUUGGACCUAAUCUAUACCAAUCAUAGUAACAGCCACUUUUGCAUCCUAUGGCAAGAUAAAAAUCAGCUGUCACAUCCUCCAGAGGGAAGAAAAGUUUCAUGAAUCUAUAAGAUCCACAGUAUUUCUUGGAGAUGUUGCGUACCAAAGAAGGUAUAACGACAACCAGGUUGCACAAAACAUCUGGGAAUAAACUAGAAGACUCAGUAACGACUCCAUGGAGUAUGAACUUUCCCUUCGGCACCAGACACCACAUUUAUUACAGAUGUCGACAAGAACGCUGCCAGUGGAGUCUCUGCUUUAUAAAGGAAUCAUCCCUGCUCUUUCCACAUGUGGACUCAUGAGUCAAUUUUGAAACUACGGUUCUGAAGAAAGAGCGGAUGACAGCGACCUUUCUUCCCUAGACCCUGGCUGGGGGAGGUAGGACAGUGAGACAGCGACAGGAAGCAGAGUCCCUCGCAACAAAGAGACCCCCGCGCAACUCCAAAGUAGGCAACUUGGAGAUUAUCUC